GGAGCCCAGCAAAGAUGGUCCUUCAGAAGUCACAGCUGCAGCCUGAUGCUGAGGAGGAUUCUGGGAUAUAAAUUAUACCUGGGAAUUCGUGGAUGUGGCACAAACACACUUCCAGCCUCUGCUCUUGAAGAUUGUUUCUCUGUCACCCAGGCUAGAGUACAGUGGUGUGAUCCUGGCUCACUGAAGCUUCAAACUCCUUGGUUCAGAUAGGGUCUCACUGUGUUGUUGAGGCUGGUCUCAAACUCCUGACCUCAAGCAAUCUUCCUGCCUUAUUUCCCCAAAGUGCUGGAAUUACUGCACCAGGCCUGAAGGUCAUGAAUUUCAAGUUCUACAUGGCACCAAGUUUCUGAUCUUUCUUUAACUUUUUCUGAAUUUCAAGGCUUAUUGGUGAAGGCAUCCCGUGAUGGCA
Symphalangus syndactylus (siamang) is the source of this 409-nucleotide long non-coding RNA. RefSeq lists it as uncharacterized. NCBI's taxonomy places the organism in Eukaryota, Metazoa, Chordata, Mammalia, Primates, Hylobatidae. The record is from RefSeq and is a predicted model, not a curated record.